Molecule: ribosomal RNA, 484 nt
Filed under: uncultured bacterium
Lineage: Bacteria
Description: partial 16S ribosomal RNA
Rfam family: Bacterial small subunit ribosomal RNA
Source: RNAcentral
AUUGAACGCUGGCGGCAGGCCUAACACAUGCAAGUCGAGCGGAUGAAGGGAGCUUGCUCCUGGAUUCAGCGGCGGACGGGUGAGCAAUGCCUAGGAAUCUGCCUGGUAGUGGGGGAUAACGUCCGGAAACGGGCGCUAAUACCGCAUACGUCCUGAGGGAGAAAGUGGGGGAUCUUCGGACCUCACGCUAUCAGAUGAGCCUAGGUCGGAUUAGCUAGUUGGUGGGGUAAAGGCCUACCAAGGCGACGAUCCGUAACUGGUCUGAGAGGAUGAUCAGUCACACUGGAACUGAGACACGGUCCAGACUCCUACGGGAGGCAGCAGUGGGGAAUAUUGGACAAUGGGCGAAAGCCUGAUCCAGCCAUGCCGCGUGUGUGAAGAAGGUCUUCGGAUUGUAAAGCACUUUAAGUUGGGAGGAAGGGCAGUAAGUUAAUACCUUGCUGUUUUGACGUUACCAACAGAAUAAGCACCGGCCAACUUCGUG